AUUGAACGCUGGCGGCAGGCCUAACACAUGCAAGUCGAGCGAGCGGCGGACGGGUGAGUAAUGUAUGGGGACUGCCCGAUAGAGGGGGAUAACUACUGGAAACGGUGGCUAAUACCGCAUACUAUCGGAUAACCCAUAUGGGAUUAGCUAGUAGGUGGGGUAAAGGCUCACCUAGGCGACGAUCUCUAGCUGGUCUGAGAGGAUGAUGAGCCACACGGGGACGGAGACACGGCCCGGACGCCUACGGAGGCAGCAGUGGGGAAUAUUGCACAAGGGGGGCAAGCCUGAGGCAGCCAUGCCGCGGGUAUGAAGAAGGCCUUAGGGUGGUAAAGUACUUUAAGCGGGGAGGCGUUACCCGAAGAAGAAGCACCGGCUAACUCCGUGCCAGCAGCCGCGGUAAUAC
This 403-nucleotide ribosomal RNA is filed under the name uncultured bacterium. RNAcentral describes it as "partial 16S ribosomal RNA". It matches the Rfam family "Bacterial small subunit ribosomal RNA", at positions 29 to 526 of the family's 1533-position model. The record is from RNAcentral.